Molecule: long non-coding RNA, 696 nt
Filed under: Fukomys damarensis (Damara mole-rat)
Lineage: Eukaryota; Metazoa; Chordata; Mammalia; Rodentia; Bathyergidae
Description: lncRNA (ENSFDAG00000032089.1)
Source: RNAcentral
UGCUUCAUUUUAUUUCAAUCGCCCUUCCUUCCUUCCUUCCUUCCUUCCUUCCUUCCUUCCUUCCUUCCUUCCUUCCUUCCUUCCUUCCUUCCUUCCUUCCUUCUUUUUUCUCUACAGAUGCAGUUAUGGGAAGCCUUUCAGAUUUUGUUGCAGCUAAAUGACUGAAUCGAUGGGCCUCAGACCACAAAAGAGACUAUGAGACUGGUGCCGUCGAGAGAGAGGUAGGCACACCCAUUCUGAGUAGAACCCUGUCGGGGUUGUUCCUAUUGCGGCGGGCCACGUGGUAUAUGGCAACGAAACAGAACAGAACACGACAUAAUGUCUGCACGCAUUCUUGUGCUUUUCUGAAACAUAAAUAAGUGUUUCCCGAGGAGACGAAUGCUGUGGCGCACACCAGCUGCUCUGGGACAGUUGAGUUGAAAGCCAUGGAACAAAAUACAGUUCAUUUUUAAAGCGGCUGGAAGGUAGGAUUUGAAUACAAUGCCCCCUUGGCUCUUUCGGUUCCUUGUGCAGAGAAUGGAUAAUCAGUGAGGUUCUAUGGCAGACAAAGCUGAAUUUUACAAGAAACCACAGUUAAGCCGGGCAUGGUGGCCCAUGCCUGUAAUCCCAGCACUUGGGAGGCUGAGGCAGAAGGAUUGCUGUGAGUUCAAGACCAGCCUGGGCUACACAGUGAGUUCCAGGUCAGUUUCAACUACA